CUCUUGGCCAUUUUUGUACUUUCGGCUCUGUUGUUUUGUGUCAGUUGUUGACGUCGUUUGGCGGCUGUGUGGUCGUGGCUUGAUUUGUUUAAAGGUUUCUGGUUCUGGGCAUCGCUCGGCUCAAUCGGCUCGGUGGUCAUGGGAACGGGGAGUUUGCCAAUGUUUCGAUGUGUUUUCCGGAUAAGGUUGGCUAGAAUCACAAUAGCAGUUGCGCAUUAUACGCACUGCCAAUUAACUCCGGCUGCCAUUUCCUUGGCUAUUUCUUCCAAUCUCCCAAUCAAAAGCCCGCAUGUUCUGGCCGUAAUCCAGCCGAAAUCAAAGCAAGCCAAACUCGUUUAUGGCCAACUUUGGACGGCGGAAUCCAGGUAAGCCUCAGCGGCUUUUGCUGACAGGAGGAGAGGUUGGCAGAGGCGGUAGAGGCGGUAGAGGCGGCAGAGGCCGUAGAAAGCCGCAACAGGCAGAGCAAAUUUCGCCGACAGCCGGCCGCUGCAAUAUAAUUUCUUUCGAUUAAUCCAAUCGAUUUCUAUUCAAUAAAUCAAAAUAUGAAUUCGUUACGGCUCCGACCCCUCGACUAGCCUAGACACUCCGCAGAUGUGUGUAGUAUGUGCGAGCGAG
Drosophila mauritiana is the source of this 615-nucleotide long non-coding RNA. RefSeq lists it as uncharacterized. The transcript has 3 exons. The record is from RefSeq and is a predicted model, not a curated record. Lineage: Eukaryota; Metazoa; Arthropoda; Insecta; Diptera; Drosophilidae.